GACGAACGCUGGCGGCGUGCUUAACACAUGCAAGUCGAACGGAAAGGCCCUGCUUUUGUGGGGUGCUCGAGUGGCGAACGGGUGAGUAACACGUGAGUAACCUGCCCUUGACUUUGGGAUAACUUCAGGCAACUGGGGCUAAUACCGGAUAGGAGCUCCUGCUGCAUGGUGGGGGUUGGAAAGUUUCGGCGGUUGGGGAUGGACUCGCGGCUUAUCAGCUUGUUGGUGGGGUAGUGUCUUACCAAGGCUUUGACGGGUAGCCGGCCUGAGAGGGUGACCGGCCACAUUGGGACUGAGAUACGGCCCAGACUACUACGGGAGGCAGCAGUGGGGAAUAUUGCACAAUGGGAGGAAGCCUGAUGCAGCAACGCCGCGUGCGGGAUGACGGCCUUCGGGUUGUAAACCGCUGUCGCCUGUGACGAAGCGUGAGUGACGGUAAUGGGUAAAGAAGCACCGGCUAACUACGUG
Molecule: ribosomal RNA, 468 nt
Filed under: uncultured bacterium
Lineage: Bacteria
Description: partial 16S ribosomal RNA
Rfam family: Bacterial small subunit ribosomal RNA
Source: RNAcentral